RNAcentral lists this ribosomal RNA (254 nucleotides) under uncultured bacterium. Its description in RNAcentral is "partial 16S ribosomal RNA". It matches the Rfam family "Bacterial small subunit ribosomal RNA", at positions 524 to 776 of the family's 1533-position model. The record is from RNAcentral.
UACGUAGGGUGCGAGCGUUGUCCGGAAUUACUGGGCGUAAAGCGUGCGUAGGCGGUUCGUUAAGUCAGCUGUGAAAGCCCCGGGCUCAACCUGGGAAUUGCGGUUGAAACUGGCGAACUAGAAUCUGGCAGAGGGGGGGUGGAAUUCCACGUGUAGCAGUGAAAUGCGUAGAGAUGUGGAGGAACACCGAUGGCGAAGGCAGCCCCCUGGGCUGAGAUUGACGCUCAGGCACGAAAGCGUGGGGAGCAAACAGG